UGUCAUGAUAACAGCAUAGGGGAAACCAACCCUACUAUUCCAAUACCCCCACUUGGUGUUCCCCUUGACAUGUGGGGAUUAUGGAGAUUAUGGGCAUUACAAUUCAGGAUGAGAUUUGGGUGGGGAAACACACCCUAACCAUAUCAUCUUAACUAUGAAUUUUUUUUAUACUUCUCUUAAAAGUUUGGCAGUUUAGCUUUUAUAUUGCUCUAAUUAUCUAUUGCUGCAUAACAAAAUGUACCACAAUUUAGAAGCUUAAAACAACAACCAUGUUUAUUUGGCUCAUAAAUCUGCAUUUAAGCUGAGUUUGGUAAGCACUGCUUGUCUUUGUUCUACUCAAUGGCAGUUAGGGCACCUGGAAUGGCAGUUAGGGCAACUGGAAGGCUGGGAGCUGAAAUCACCUGAAGUCUCAUUCACUCACAUGUCUGAUGGUUGAUAUUGUCUAUCAGAUUCUUUUUUGUCUCCUUCUCUGCAAGAGGCUGGCACCAGAUCACCUCCUGAGUAGAGCAGACAUUCCAAAGGAUGUCCUGCCAACAAUAAUGGAAAGCUGGAUACAACUGAAUAUGUAAAAUGG
Molecule: long non-coding RNA, 574 nt
Filed under: Homo sapiens (human)
Lineage: Eukaryota; Metazoa; Chordata; Mammalia; Primates; Hominidae
Description: HSALNT0329412
Source: RNAcentral